This 144-nucleotide small nuclear RNA is filed under the name Fukomys damarensis (Damara mole-rat). Its description in RNAcentral is "U2 spliceosomal RNA". It matches the Rfam family "U2 spliceosomal RNA". Rfam says of the family: U2 is a small nuclear RNA (snRNA) component of the spliceosome (involved in pre-mRNA splicing). Complementary binding between U2 snRNA (in an area lying towards the 5' end but 3' to hairpin I) and the branchpoint sequence (BPS) of the intron results the bulging out of an unpaired adenosine, on the BPS, which initiates a nucleophilic attack at the intronic 5' splice site, thus starting the first of two transesterification reactions that mediate splicing. The record is from Rfam by way of RNAcentral. Lineage: Eukaryota; Metazoa; Chordata; Mammalia; Rodentia; Bathyergidae.
AUCGCUUCUCGGCCUUUUGGCUAAGAUCAAGUGAAGAUAUAGAAUCUUAAACCUUCUAUAGCUCAUGGGAAUACUAAAGUCAAGACCAUAUUUUUCCCUAAGAACCUUAAUAAUCAAGUUUAGUAUGUACAGUUUCUAUCCCUA